GGUCCUAUGCAAGAAACAAUUUCCAAACCCCGUCAGAUUCGGAAGAAAGCAGCGGUAGGAUUUUUGUUUUUGUGCCGUAGUGUACCUGG
This 89-nucleotide signal recognition particle RNA is filed under the name chicken gut metagenome. RNAcentral's name for it is "Bacterial small signal recognition particle RNA". It matches the Rfam family "Bacterial small signal recognition particle RNA". Rfam says of the family: The signal recognition particle (SRP) is a universally conserved ribonucleoprotein involved in the co-translational targeting of proteins to membranes. The record is from RNAcentral.